UACAGGGGGGGCAAGCGUUGUUCGGAAUUACUGGGCGUAAAGGGUCUGUAGGUGGCCAACUAAGUCAGACGUGAAAUCCCUCAGCUUAACUGGGGAACUGCGUCUGAUACUGGAUGGCUAGAGUGCGGGAGAGGAGAGUGGAAUUCCUGGUGUAGCGGUGAAAUGCGCAGAUAUCAGGAAGAACACCCGUGGCGAAGGCGGCUCUCUGGAACGCAACUGACGCUGAGACGCGAAAGCGUGGGGAGCAAACAGG
This 253-nucleotide ribosomal RNA is filed under the name uncultured bacterium. Its description in RNAcentral is "partial 16S ribosomal RNA". It matches the Rfam family "Bacterial small subunit ribosomal RNA", at positions 524 to 776 of the family's 1533-position model. The record is from RNAcentral.